This 497-nucleotide ribosomal RNA is filed under the name uncultured bacterium. RNAcentral's name for it is "partial 16S ribosomal RNA". It matches the Rfam family "Bacterial small subunit ribosomal RNA", at positions 28 to 507 of the family's 1533-position model. The record is from RNAcentral.
GACGAACGCUGGCGGCGUGCCUAAUACAUGCAAGUUGAGCGCUGAAGGUUGGUACUUGUACCAACUGGAUGAGCAGCGAACGGGUGAGUAACGCGUGGGGAAUCUGCCUUUGAGCGGGGGACAACAUUUGGAAACGAAUGCUAAUACCGCAUAAAAACUUUAAACACAAGUUUUAAGUUUGAAAGAUGCAAUUGCAUCACUCAAAGAUGAUCCCGCGUUGUAUUAGCUAGUUGGUGAGGUAAAGGCUCACCAAGGCGAUGAUACAUAGCCGACCUGAGAGGGUGAUCGGCCACAUUGGGACUGAGACACGGCCCAAACUCCUACGGGAGGCAGCAGUAGGGAAUCUUCGGCAAGGGACGAAAGUCUGACCGAGCAACGCCGCGUGAGUGAAGAAGGUUGUCGGGUCGUAAAACUCUGUUGGUAGAGAAGAACGUUGGUGAGAGUGGAAAGCUCAUCAAGUGACGGUAACUACCCAGAAAGGGACGGCUAACUACGUG